RNAcentral lists this ribosomal RNA (503 nucleotides) under uncultured bacterium. RNAcentral describes it as "partial 16S ribosomal RNA". It matches the Rfam family "Bacterial small subunit ribosomal RNA", at positions 30 to 523 of the family's 1533-position model. The record is from RNAcentral.
AUUGAACGCUGGCGGCAGGCUUAACACAUGCAAGUCGAGCGGGGUGAUGGUGCUUGCACUAUCACUUAGCGGCGGACGGGUGAGUAAUGCUUAGGAAUCUGCCUAUUAGUGGGGGACAACAUCUCGAAAGGGAUGCUAAUACCGCAUACGUCCUACGGGAGAAAGCAGGGGAUCACUCGUGACCUUGCGCUAAUAGAUGAGCCUAAGUCGGAUUAGCUAGUUGGUGGGGUAAAGGCCUACCAAGGCGACGAUCUGUAGCGGGUCUGAGAGGAUGAUCCGCCACACUGGGACUGAGACACGGCCCAGACUCCUACGGGAGGCAGCAGUGGGGAAUAUUGGACAAUGGGGGGAACCCUGAUCCAGCCAUGCCGCGUGUGUGAAGAAGGCCUUAUGGUUGUAAAGCACUUUAAGCGAGGAGGAGGCUCUUUUGGUUAAUACCCAAGAUGAGUGGACGUUACUCGCAGAAUAAGCACCGGCUAACUCUGUGCCAGCCGCCGCCGUAA